RNAcentral lists this long non-coding RNA (681 nucleotides) under Rattus norvegicus (Norway rat). Its description in RNAcentral is "long non-coding RNA NONRATT018720". Lineage: Eukaryota; Metazoa; Chordata; Mammalia; Rodentia; Muridae. The record is from RNAcentral.
AAGGGAAGGAAGAAAAGACAGACACAUGGACAUGCGGGAAAGCUGGGAUUCAGGUGGUCUGGGCUCUCUGAUGGAGAAUCCACAGCAAUCCUAGAUCAGUGUAUUUAUUAUAUGUUUAUGUGUAUGUGUAUCUGUAUGGCACCUAUGUGUAUACACACGUAUACACAUAUAUAAGUUUUGAUGAAUUAGUUGCAUACACACACACAACUAAUUCACCGAAAAUCAAUGAAUAGAUUUGGAAAUGAAACAAGCAGCACUCUUGUGAGCUCAGUCUGUUGGUGGCCUUUUGAUCCAAGUGCACAUGUGCAGUGAAUUUGUGUGGCAUGUGUCCAGGUAUCUGUCCCCACUUCUCAACCCCUACAUAUUUACACAAAGGCUCUCCAUUCUCUACCUUCCUUUCUGUCCUGUUACCACCCUGGACCCUGUCCUCCAUGCAUCUGAUCUGCCACCUUCUAAAAUCCACACAAAUCCCAGCCUUCCUGGCUCCAACAAUUUGCCUGCCCAUUGCUUCUUGGCCUGGCUUUCACAAUCCUCUAUGAACUGGCCCAGCUGGUCUCUGGGGUCCCCCUUCCCAUCAUCUGGCUGCUAGGGAGUUUCCCACUUGUGCAUCACCCCCACACCAGGCUUCCACCCACUAGUACGGGUACCAUUUUGACUAGGUCUGCCAUACCUACACCAUCA